Nothoprocta perdicaria is the source of this 507-nucleotide long non-coding RNA. RefSeq lists it as uncharacterized. Lineage: Eukaryota; Metazoa; Chordata; Aves; Tinamiformes; Tinamidae. The transcript is spliced from 3 exons. The record is from RefSeq and is a predicted model, not a curated record.
GAGUAACUAAUAGAAACUUGAAUGCCUGGAAAACUUGGGUUUUUUUUUGUGCUUGAAAUUGUUUGAAGAGUAAAUGAUAUGAGACGGCAUCCUGUCAAGGAAGUCUCAAUCUGAAUAAAGGCUUUAAUUUUUCCUCAGCUGGCCUCUUUCAAGCCCUAGAGCCGUUGGAGGGUUUUAGAGCUAGCGCUGUUUUGUCUCUGGCUCUAGGUGACAGAGAGCUUCCUGAGCAAAGAAGUCACCUACGUGGUUUCCAGCAGCAAGGAGGCCAAGCGGGACAAGGCCAGGGCUCGAACUGAGAAGUGGAGCAGCGUUACCUCAGAAGGUGCAAAAGCCAAGAGCCCGGGGCCUUCCACCUCCAAAGGGAGCCAUAGCAGACCUCAGCAGAAGCCACCAGACACCGUGCUGAUCAGCCGAGGAAGGGAACUGCUGCAGAAAGCCAUAAAGAACCAGGACACCUGCGGUGGCAGCGGUAUCCUCGCCAGCGCUCGUCUGUGGGGAGUCCAGAUC